This 468-nucleotide ribosomal RNA is filed under the name uncultured bacterium. Its description in RNAcentral is "partial 16S ribosomal RNA". It matches the Rfam family "Bacterial small subunit ribosomal RNA", at positions 28 to 507 of the family's 1533-position model. The record is from RNAcentral.
GACGAACGCUGGCGGCGUGCUUAACACAUGCAAGUCGAACGGAAACGCCCUGCUUUUGUGGGGUGCUCGAGUGGCGAACGGGUGAGUAACACGUGAGUAACCUGCCCUUGACGUUGGGAUACCUUCAGGAAACUGGGGCUAAUACCGGCUAGGAGCUCCUGCUGCAUGGUGGGGGUUGGAACGUUUCGGCGGUUGGGGCUGGACUGGGGGCUUAUCAGCUGGUUGGGGGGGUGGUGGCUUAGCAAGGCAUUGACAGGUGGCCGACCUGGUCGGGGAACCGGACACAAUACGCCUGAGAUACGACGCAGACUCGUAUGGUAGGCAGCGGUGGGGAAUAUUACACAAUGAGCGGGAGCCUGAUGCAACAACGCCGCGUGCGGGAUGAGGUCCUGCGGGUUGUAAACUGCUUUCGCCUGUGACGAAGCGUGAGUGACGGUACCGGGUGAAGAAGCACCGGCUAACUACGUG